This 173-nucleotide ribosomal RNA is filed under the name Enterococcus faecium. RNAcentral describes it as "partial 16S ribosomal RNA". It matches the Rfam family "Bacterial small subunit ribosomal RNA", at positions 1 to 158 of the family's 1533-position model. RNAcentral also lists the same sequence under 1 other name. Lineage: Bacteria; Bacillati; Bacillota; Bacilli; Lactobacillales; Enterococcaceae. The record is from RNAcentral.
UUUUAUGAGAGUUUGAUCCUGGCUCAGGACGAACGCUGGCGGCGUGCCUAAUACAUGCAAGUCGAACGCUUCUUUUUCCACCGGAGCUUGCUCCACCGGAAAAAGAGGAGUGGCGAACGGGUGAGUAACACGUGGGUAACCUGCCCAUCAGAAGGGGAUAACACUUGGAAACA